RNAcentral lists this ribosomal RNA (523 nucleotides) under uncultured Ralstonia sp. RNAcentral describes it as "partial 16S ribosomal RNA". The record is from RNAcentral. Lineage: Bacteria; Pseudomonadati; Pseudomonadota; Betaproteobacteria; Burkholderiales; Burkholderiaceae.
CGCGUUAGCUACGUUACUAAGGAAAUGAAUCCCCAACAACUAGUUGACAUCGUUUAGGGCGUGGACUACCAGGGUAUCUAAUCCUGUUUGCUCCCCACGCUUUCGUGCAUGAGCGUCAGUGUUAUCCCAGGGGGCUGCCUUCGCCAUCGGUAUUCCUCCACAUCUCUACGCAUUUCACUGCUACACGUGGAAUUCUACCCCCCUCUGACACACUCUAGCCGUGCAGUCACCAAUGCAAUUCCCAAGUUAAGCUCGGGGAUUUCACAUCGGUCUUGCACAACCGCCUGCGCACGCUUUACGCCCAGUAAUUCCGAUUAACGCUUGGACCCUACGUAUUACCGCGGCUGCUGGCACGUAGUUAGCCGGUCCUUAUUCUUCCGGUACCGUCAUCGACCCCAGGUAUUAACCAGAGCCAUUUCUUUCCGGACAAAAGUGCUUUACAACCCGAAGGCCUUCUUCACACACGCGGCAUUGCUGGAUCAGGCUUUCGCCCAUUGUCCAAAAUUCCCCACUGCUGCCUCCC